CUCCAAAACCUGCCCUCACCUGCGUUUUCCUUCACAGACGCUCACUCUCUUUGCUACAAUUCACCAUCGAUCCUCAGCCCAGUCCUGGAGAGCCGUGGUGUGUGGCUCAAGGCCAGGUAGAUGGGAAUGUUUUUCUCUCCUAUGACUGUGGUGGCGCCAUGAUCUAAUCCACAAGUCCAUUGGGAGAGGAGGUGAAAACUAUGAACACUUGGGAAACACAGAGAGAAACACUGAGAGACAUCAGGGACUUCCUCAAGGGGCAAUUGCCUGAUGUUAUACUGGAGAAACACAUGGCCAGAGAAUGAACCACUGUCCAGUGUCCAUUCUCUGAGUCAAAGAGGAGGCACAUUUGUCCACUGAUGCCGAACUGCCAGGAUCCACUGAUGUGUCCAUCCUCUUCACACUGACAUGUCAUCCUGCCCUGCGAGGUCAGUACCCAGGAUCGGCCAACACACAGCCUUUCUGGAUACAUGCCAGACAGCUCUGCAGGAAAAGCCUAGAUGGAAGAGGACUUUCAGAAUCGAACCCGGAGUCCUGCCAGAGAUGGAGAGCAUGUGGGGGCUGCUUCUGAGGAGCAUUUCAUUUCUAGAGCAGAGCCCCUUUUCAGAAUGCAUCCCCAGAGAAGGAAGCUAUGUUUCAGUGGAGUGCCCUUUGUUCACCACAGUAAGUGCAGAAGUCCUUUCCUUCUUUCCCAGUGAGCCGCAUGACCAUGGGCUCAGGUAAGUGAACCUGAAGGAGAAGAAAUGACUCCCACAUUCAUGUUGGACCUAGCAUGUUACUAGCAUUAUGCACAGGGACUGCAGUAUCAUCAUGGCCUCCCUGUUUCUGAAGUGCGGCUCGGGGCUCCAGGCAGUCAGUGGACAGCUCUGCCAGGCCCUGCUAACAGUGCUUAUCCCUGGGCCCACAGAUCCACACCACACUCAUUUCACGUGGCCUGGAUUUCUGACAUGAAUGGACAAUCUUUGUAGUUAGUAAAACACCCAUUGGGUGAGGGCUACCAUAGUAGGGAUUUCCACAUUCACACUUCUGACCUGACUCUGUAUCUCACAGUAGUA
Molecule: long non-coding RNA, 1055 nt
Organism: Capra hircus (goat)
Lineage: Eukaryota; Metazoa; Chordata; Mammalia; Artiodactyla; Bovidae
Exons: 3
Source: RefSeq, a predicted model, not a curated record